UCCUACGGGAGGCAGCAGUGGGGAAUAUUGGACAAUGGGCGCAAGCCUGAUCCAGCCAUGCCGCGUGAGUGAUGAAGGCCCUAGGGUUGUAAAGCUCUUUCGCCAGGGACGAUAAUGACGGUACCCCAGGAGGAAGCCCCGGCUAACUACGUGCCAGCAGCCGCGGUAAUACGUAGGGGGCGAGCGUUGUCCGGAAUUAUUGGGCGUAAAGGGUUCGUAGGCGGUUUUUUAAGUCAGAUGUGAAAGGUCACGGCUCAACCGUGGUAAGCAUUUGAAACUGAAAGACUUGAGUUAAGGAGAGGAAAGUGGAAUUCCUAGUGUAGCGGUGAAAUGCGUAGAUAUUAGGAGGAAUACCAGUGGCGAAGGCGACUUUCUGGACUUAUACUGACGCUGAGGAACGAAAGCGUGGGGAGCAAACAGGAUUAGAUACCCUGGUAGUCCACGCCGUAAACGAUGAGUGCUAGGUGUUGGGGGUCAAACCUCGGUGCCGCAGCUAACGCAUUAAGCACUCCGCCUGGGGAGUACGUACGCAAGUAUGAAACUCAAAGGAAUUGACGGA
RNAcentral lists this ribosomal RNA (559 nucleotides) under uncultured bacterium. Its description in RNAcentral is "bacterial SSU rRNA". It matches the Rfam family "Bacterial small subunit ribosomal RNA", at positions 337 to 917 of the family's 1533-position model. The record is from RNAcentral.